CCACGAGCCUCUGGAGAAUGUCAGCUCUGAAAAAGGUAUUGCAGCUGGCGAUGAUUGAUGGAAAUGAAACAGUGUUGUAAUAGUCUUCUAAUCAUCAGUAUUAGUGCUCCGGUCGACUGACACCGUUUAACUCAUUAGAUCAGGGAAAUUAAUCACGUGUCAUUCCAAAGACUGCAGAUGUUUCUGCUGAUGGCAUGAAUAGUCUUAAUGAACGUUUUAAAACCCACCUGCUGUUGCCAGUGUUAAACAGCGAUGACGUCAUGUGCGUCUCACUUAUUGUGCUACCAUGGAUCCUGCAGACACAUUGCUGCCUUUUCCUUGACAAGAGUCCAGAAACCUCAGACUGGACUUUCUAAUGCAUUCGAACAGUGCUGGCCUAUUGGAUGUAUAUGCUUUUUGGAUCUGAAAGAGAAAUUUAGCUCUUUUGAAAAUCAAGGCACUUCUAUCAGCUCUAGUGUCCUGUGUUAAUUUGCCCCUCUCUGUGAGGGUUCAAAGACCCUCAAGGUUGCUGAUGAACCACUGUAUGCAGUUUUCUAAAUUCUUGAGCCCACAUGAUUGAUGGCAAGCUGUCCAGCCGACUGCAUCAGCCCACAAUGUCCUGCAUGGCUAUAGUUUACCUCCGUGUACCAGUGAAUAUUGAGAGGGCCCUGCUGCUGUUUCUAUGGAGACGAGGGAGGCUGAUGUCAUUGGAGGUGAUCCUGAACAUGCUCCGAUCUGUUUGUUGGAACCAGUAUCUGAUGCUGAUUGUGUAUUCAGCGGUAUACAAACCAUCAGUAUUCAACAACCAGAUCCAGCAACAAUCCUUUGUGAAAGCAUUCAAUAUUUAGUUCAUUCGUGAAGAGGAGAAUGUAUCUCAGAAUGAGUCAUUCAUCAUGGCUCAGCGUUUUCCCGAGGUCAGGGCCGACGGCGCAUGUUAAUGCUGUUGAUCUCUAAAGACAUUUCAAAUCAACAUCUGACUCAUUAACCCAUGUUAUUAAAAUUUUUUA
This is a long non-coding RNA of Carassius gibelio (silver crucian carp), 986 nucleotides long. RefSeq lists it as uncharacterized. The transcript has 3 exons. The record is from RefSeq and is a predicted model, not a curated record. NCBI's taxonomy places the organism in Eukaryota, Metazoa, Chordata, Actinopteri, Cypriniformes, Cyprinidae.